GAUGAACGCUAGCUACAGGCUUAACACAUGCAAGUCGAGGGGCAGCAUAACUUAGCAAUAAGUUGAUGGCGACCGGCGCACGGGUGAGUAACACGUAUCCAACCUGGCUCUAACUCGGGGAUAGCCUUUCGAAAGAAAGAUUAAUACCCGAUGGUAUAUUAAAAACUCCUGUUUUUAAUAUUAAAGAAUUUCGGUUAGAGAUGGGGAUGCGUUCCAUUAGCUUGUUGGUGGGGUAACGGCCCACCAAGGCAUCGAUGGAUAGGGGUUCUGAGAGGAAGGUCCCCCACACUGGAACUGAGACACGGUCCAGACUCCUACGGGAGGCAGCAGUGAGGAAUAUUGGUCAAUGGACGCAAGUCUGAACCAGCCAAGUAGCGUGAAGGAUGACUGCCCUAUGGGUUGUAAACUUCUUUUAUAUGGGAAUAAUCACAUCUACGUGUAGAUGUUUGUAUGUACCAUACGAAUAAGCAUCGGCUAACUCCGUGCCAGCAGCCGCCGUAAAAC
This 504-nucleotide ribosomal RNA is filed under the name uncultured bacterium. Its description in RNAcentral is "bacterial SSU rRNA". It matches the Rfam family "Bacterial small subunit ribosomal RNA", at positions 28 to 526 of the family's 1533-position model. The record is from RNAcentral.